Small nucleolar RNA from Synchiropus splendidus (mandarinfish), 84 nucleotides. RefSeq annotates it as small nucleolar RNA SNORD79. NCBI's taxonomy places the organism in Eukaryota, Metazoa, Chordata, Actinopteri, Syngnathiformes, Callionymidae. The transcript has a single exon. The record is from RefSeq and is a predicted model, not a curated record.
GACUGUCAAUGAUGAAUUUUGUUUAAAAAACAAUGGGAAUCUCUCUGAAUCAGGGUGAAAGAGUGCUUUGUUACUGAUGCAGUU